This 125-nucleotide small RNA is filed under the name Marmota monax (woodchuck). The record is from RNAcentral. Lineage: Eukaryota; Metazoa; Chordata; Mammalia; Rodentia; Sciuridae.
GCUGGGCACGGUGGAGCACGCCUGCAAUCCCAGGGGCUCAGGAGGCUGAGGCAGGAGGAUCGAGAGUUCAAAUCCAGGCUCAGCAACAGUGAGGUGCUAAGCAACUCAGUGAGACCCUGUCUCUA